AACAACUCACCUGCCGAAUGAAUUAGCCCUGAAAAUGGAUGGCGCUGAAGCGGGCAGCCGACACCGCGCCGUUCCGGCGAGACGAUGCCGGGAUGAGUAGGAGGGCGUGGCGGUCAGUGACGCAGGCGAGGGUGCAGACCCCGCUGAAACGGCCGCUAGUGCAGAUCUUGGUGGUAGUAGCAAAUAUUCAAGCGAGAUCCUUGAAGGGCGAAGCGGGGAAGGGUUCCACGCAAACAUUGAUUGGGCGUGGGUGAGUCGUUCCUAAGCCGAGUGGCAAUUGCUAAGUAGCGGCGAAAGGGAAGCGGGUUAAAAUUCUCGCACACGGAUAUGGAGGCGGCGACGCAAGCAGAGGCAAAUACGCUGGCGAGGGCGCUGGGCAGAGUUGUCUUUUCUGUUUGACCGGCAUCGCGCUGUGUGGAAUCCGCUUAUCGGGAGAAACACGCGCGGGGAGGGGCAGAGCGUCAGGUCUUUUCUGGCGUCCGGCUCGCCCUCGACGGCCCUUGAAAAUUUGCCCGCGAAUUUAAAAUUUCAUGCUGUGACGUACCGAUAACCGCAUCAGGUCCCCAAGGUGAACAGCCUCUGCUCAAUAUGAACAAU
This 597-nucleotide ribosomal RNA is filed under the name Stenopeltis gracilis. RNAcentral describes it as "eukaryotic LSU rRNA". It matches the Rfam family "Eukaryotic large subunit ribosomal RNA", at positions 1284 to 1899 of the family's 3401-position model. Lineage: Eukaryota; Rhodophyta; Florideophyceae; Nemaliales; Liagoraceae. The record is from RNAcentral.